AACCUGGCGGGCGCUUAUGCUGCAGUCGAGCGAAGCUUUUCAGUAGUUUACUACAGAAAAUGACUGAGCGGCGAACGGGUGAGUAACGCGUGAGCAAUCUACCUUAGUUACAGGGAUAGCCCGAGGAAACUCGGAUUAAUACCUGAUAUUCUUUAUUUCUCGCAUGAGAAUAAAAGGAAAGGUCAGCCGAACUAAGAUGAGCUCGCGUUCUAUCAGCUAGUUGGUGAGGUAAAAGCUCACCAAGGCUACGACGGAUAGCUGGUCUGAGAGGACGAUCAGCCACACUGGGACUGAGACACGGCCCAGACUCCUACGGGAGGCUGCAGCAGGGAAUAUUGCGCAAUGAGCGAAAGCUUGACGCAGCGACACCGCGUGUGGGAUGACGGAUCUAGGUUUGUAAACCACUUUCAGGAGGGAAGAAAAUGACGGUACCUCCACAAGAAGCCCCGGCCAACUACGUGCCAGCAGCCGCGGUAAUACGUAGGGGGCGAGCGUUGUCCGGAUUUAUUGGGCGUAAAGAGCUCGUAGGCGGUUCAACAAGUCGGUCGUGAAAGUUCAGGGCUCAACCCUGAAAUGUCGAUCGAUACUGUCGUGACUAGGAUACGGUAGAGGGUGAGUGGAAUUCCGAGUGUAGCGGGGAAAUGCGUAGAUAUUCGGAGGGAACACCAAUAGCGA
RNAcentral lists this ribosomal RNA (675 nucleotides) under uncultured Actinomycetes bacterium. Its description in RNAcentral is "bacterial SSU rRNA". It matches the Rfam family "Bacterial small subunit ribosomal RNA", at positions 32 to 718 of the family's 1533-position model. Lineage: Bacteria; Bacillati; Actinomycetota; Actinomycetes. The record is from RNAcentral.